Urocitellus parryii (Arctic ground squirrel) is the source of this 810-nucleotide long non-coding RNA. NCBI's taxonomy places the organism in Eukaryota, Metazoa, Chordata, Mammalia, Rodentia, Sciuridae. The record is from Ensembl.
GUGGCAUCCCACGUAAUCUCCAGGUCCAGAGGCGAAGACAGCGUGCGUCUCCCUCCCCAGCGGGCGUGGCUUCAUUCUCAGCCAGGCAGGGUCUGGAGUCAGUAUCCUUGUGAAAUGAGUGCUGACCUCGAAGAAGAGCUGGCCCACGGGCACCAGCCCCAGGAGAUCAGAGGACACGCAACACCUUGGAGUGGCCACUUGGCCCCCUGCCUCCCUGGAUCUGAGGUUCUUAACUUCUGUGGACUUGGUAGAGCCCUCCUGUAUCAGAAAGAAGGCUGUGCUGAAGUGGACCCCGUCUUUCAGAUGCUGUCCAGAUGACGUAGGGCUCAGGAGCUGAGAGUCCAGGCAGAAGAGGAGUGACCCACAGUACACUGGGUGGUGAUGGGCACUAUGUCACAGCAAGAGCAUAGGGGCAGUUUGCCAAAGGUGCCAUGAAGACUCUGAGAGGAUGCAAGGAAAUGCCCCUGCCUGCGACCCCAAACAUCUUCAGGAUGGAACCACAGCCAUCAGCCCAGCAGGAGAGUGACGUCCCAGCCCACCAGUCUGCAACUCCAAGCAGGAGGAGCCCCUGCACCACGUCUCUCAAAUAUCCCAGCAGAGAGCAUUCUCUCCAGCAUAGGAGUCUCUUGAGCCACCUCCCUCCCUCUGGGUGGCUCUGCAGCUGUUGGGGCACCAACUGUCUAUACAUCCAGCCCAUGGUGAGGUAUGUAUGGAUACUAGGCACCAAGGAUCCUCAGGCCCUUCCUGCAAAAGUCACACCAAGCCUCAGUACUAGUCCCACCAUCCAACCUUCCACUGGACCCUCCUAAU